This 237-nucleotide ribosomal RNA is filed under the name uncultured bacterium. RNAcentral's name for it is "partial 16S ribosomal RNA". It matches the Rfam family "Bacterial small subunit ribosomal RNA", at positions 100 to 334 of the family's 1533-position model. The record is from RNAcentral.
CCGGCACGGGUGAGUAACACGUAUCCAACCUGCCGUCUACUCUUGGACAGCCUUCUGAAAGGAAGAUUAAUACAAGAUGGCAUCAUGAGUCCGCAUGUUCACAUGAUUAAAGGUAUUCCGGUAGACGAUGGGGAUGCGUUCCAUUAGAUAGUAGGCGGGGUAACGGCCCACCUAGUCUUCGAUGGAUAGGGGUUCUGAGAGGAAGGUCCCCCACAUUAGAACUGAGACACGGUCCAA